AGUUGACAUACACAGAGGUGUAGGUUGCUGCUGACACCCAGCAGAGUGUAAUAUUGCUGCUGGAUCCUAGACCACAGAUCCACAACCAUUUCCUGCCACCCAACAGAGCCAACCACUCAACGGACAGCACAGUUGGACUGCUGUUAAUUAGUGCUACUUGGGAAAGUCAGUACCAGCGCUUGUGUCAGUCUCUCACUGUGGUGGCACCAAUGCUGAGAAUCUGCAGGCAGGUUUCAAAAUGAAUUGGUCAUGCUUUGUCCUUGAUUUCCUAAUGCUUGUCCAUUUAUGGCUCUACAAAUAAAAUUAGCCUGGACGUGACAAAGGGUUAAGAGGGUCUGCUAUAUAGAUGCACUUUCAAGGCUGGUGGAAUCAUUGUCUUAAUUCCAAGAAUGAACAAAGAUGAAAAGAAAGACAAAUAUAAGUGAACCAGGCACAGCUUUCUGUGAUUCAUGAUACCUUCCAGUAAGCCUGUUAGCCUGGUUUCACUCCUUUGGAAGAAUAAUGGAGAGUUACAAUGUGUACGAUGACAUUGUCAAACCAUCUGGAAUUGCUGAUUAUAGUGCUAAAUAUUGAUCUCUGCUUCACAUGUGUCAAAAUUCUUUCUUCCCUUAAUUAGUGCUUUCCUCAGUACUAUAUCAGAACAAACUGCAUACAUGAUAUCACAGCGAAAGAGAAAGUGUUACUGGAAUGUGAGUGUGACCUUGUAUCUCCUUUAUCUUUUGGUUUUUGAAUUGACUUCAGAUCUACGGACUGCCAUGCCAUUAUGUGACAAUAAUACUCAUUUUAUCCCAAU
Chiloscyllium plagiosum (whitespotted bambooshark) is the source of this 793-nucleotide non-coding RNA. The record is from RefSeq and is a predicted model, not a curated record. Lineage: Eukaryota; Metazoa; Chordata; Chondrichthyes; Orectolobiformes; Hemiscylliidae.